GACGAACGCUGGCGGCGUGCUUAACACAUGCAAGUCGAACGGUGAAGCGCCUUCCUUUUUGGUGGGUGUGGAUGAGUGGCGAACGGGUGAGUAACACGUGAGUAACCUGCCCCCUUCUUCUGGAUAACCGCAUGAAAGUGUGGCUAAUACGGGAUAUUCUGGGUCUGUCGCAUGAUGGGUCUGGGACAGAUAUUGUUUCGGUGGUGGAUGGGCUCGCGGCCUAUCAGCUUGUUGGUGGGGUGAUGGCCUACCAAGGCGGUGACGGGUAGCCGGCCUGAGAGGGUGGACGGUCACACUGGGACUGAGACACGGCCCAGACUCAUACGGGACGCAGCAGUGGGGAAUAGUGCACAAUGGGCGAAAGCCUGAUGCAGCGACGCCGCGUGAGGGAUGGAGGCCUUCGGGUUGUGAACCUCUUUCGCCAGUGAAGCAGGCCUGCCUCGUUUGUGGGUGGGUUGACGGUAGCUGGAUAAGAAGCGCCGGCUAACUACGUG
Molecule: ribosomal RNA, 494 nt
Filed under: uncultured bacterium
Lineage: Bacteria
Description: partial 16S ribosomal RNA
Rfam family: Bacterial small subunit ribosomal RNA
Source: RNAcentral